GCCCCCAAAUCUAAUCAAACUUUAUAUCAGUGAUUGCAAUAAUCUGACACAACCCAUGUCAGAGUGGGGACUCCAUGCGCUCACCUCUCUUAGAGAAUUUGAAAUCUAUGGUCGUUGUACAGAAGUGAUUUCUUUUCCAGAUGAUGAUGGACUGUUGCUUCCUGCUUCUCUAAUCUGUCUUUACAUUGGAAGAUUCAAGAAUUUGAAAUCCAUAUCCAGUGGCCUCCAAAAUCUGU
This 236-nucleotide unclassified non-coding RNA is filed under the name Hevea brasiliensis (rubber tree). The record is from RNAcentral. Lineage: Eukaryota; Viridiplantae; Streptophyta; Magnoliopsida; Malpighiales; Euphorbiaceae.